Molecule: non-coding RNA, 71 nt
Organism: Trichoderma gamsii
Lineage: Eukaryota; Fungi; Ascomycota; Sordariomycetes; Hypocreales; Hypocreaceae
Source: Rfam
ACGGACAUAGGUUAAUGGUAGACUUUCCGAUUUCCACUCGGCGUGUGUCAGUUCAAGUCUGACUAUCCGUA